RNAcentral lists this transfer RNA (65 nucleotides) under Fascioloides magna. RNAcentral's name for it is "tRNA-Trp". The record is from RNAcentral. Lineage: Eukaryota; Metazoa; Platyhelminthes; Trematoda; Plagiorchiida; Fasciolidae.
AGUAAUUUAGGUUAGGUUGGACUGUUUGUUUUCAAAAUAAAAGGGGGCUUUGGUGUCAGUUACUG